AUUGAACGCUGGCGGCAUGCCUUACACAUGCAAGUCGAACGGUAACGAGCCUUCGGGUGCCGACGAGUGGCGAACGGGUGAGUAAUACAUCGGAACGUGCCCGAUCGUGGGGGAUAACGAGGCGAAAGCUUUGCUAAUACCGCAUACGAUCUACGGAUGAAAGCAGGGGACCGCAAGGCCUUGCGCGGACGGAGCGGCCGAUGGCAGAUUAGGUAGUUGGUGGGAUAAAAGCUUACCAAGCCGACGAUCUGUAGCUGGUCUGAGAGGAUGCUCAGCCACACGGGGAGUUGGACACGGCCCAGACUCCUACGGUAGGCAGCAGUGUGGAAUUUUGGACCAUGGGCGCAAGCCUGAUCCAGCCAUGCCGCGUGCAGGAUGAAGGCCUUCGGGUUGUAAACUGCUUUUGUACGGAACGAAAAGCCUUCUUUUAAUACAGGAGGGUCAUGACGGUACCGUAAGAAUGAGCACCGGCUAACUACGUG
Molecule: ribosomal RNA, 482 nt
Filed under: uncultured bacterium
Lineage: Bacteria
Description: partial 16S ribosomal RNA
Rfam family: Bacterial small subunit ribosomal RNA
Source: RNAcentral